Molecule: non-coding RNA, 93 nt
Organism: Mycena leptocephala
Lineage: Eukaryota; Fungi; Basidiomycota; Agaricomycetes; Agaricales; Mycenaceae
Source: the annotation of a GenBank genome assembly
AGCAGUAUGGUGUAAUGAUGCACACAUGAAUCUCAUGACCAAGAAGUACAAGAAUGCAUUCCUGAGGUCCUUGUUCGAAUCAAGGUGCUGCUU